This 1659-nucleotide unclassified non-coding RNA is filed under the name Hevea brasiliensis (rubber tree). The record is from RNAcentral. Lineage: Eukaryota; Viridiplantae; Streptophyta; Magnoliopsida; Malpighiales; Euphorbiaceae.
ACAAAAGCCCCAUUUGAGAGAGGCAAAGACUUGCAAAUCUGAUAACAUAGAGGGCCACUCUCAUCUAGAUAAACUAUCAAAUUAAGAAGGGAUAAUAAAAUAGAGCUGCCUUGCAAAUGCCAAGAUCACCAUCGGCAAUUAUCUGUUCUGAAAUAAAAAAGGAUAUUUAUACGUAGGUCAGAUGACUAGCAUGACAAAACUCAUUUGAUGUGGUGCCUCGUAUAUGCAAGCUUUAGAGAAUCUGAUCUGGAGAACGAUCUGAGAUGAAGGUUUCGCUCAUUUCACAUAGUGAAGCCAGAGUACGUCGCUCAAUCCUUGAAUCCGGAAGGAAAAUCUUCAUAUCAUCGAUGUUUUUUAUUAUUAUUGUCUUUUCUUUCAAUUCUAAUUUGGGCGAACCCAAUAAACUGCAUCUUAAGUCAUCCAUUUUGCGUCUCCAGAAGAUAUAUAGGAUAAGAAAAUAAUUACGAAAAUGCAAAUCAAAUCUGCUGGAAGAUAUGACAGGGGCCAUGCACUAAGCCAAGCUAAUUAAAACAAUCAAUCAAUCAAGAGUCCAAAUUUACCCUUACUUGAUGACUGGGAGAAUUUAACAGUUCGUAACCAGUUUUUCUCAAACCAUCACCACAAUUUCUAGAUCCAUAAUUGGCAAAGGCUGAAGAGAUUCAAUACUGUUCAACACUUCAUCAAUCCUGUAAAUCUGGACCACACACAAUCUAUAAGAAAACACAAACUAUAAGCAGAUACCUUGCCAGGAUUCAGGCAGUGUCCCUCAUGAGUUUAACUCCACUAUUCAUGGAUGAGAAUUAGGACAAAGAUAGAAAAAGGAAUCCAACCAGGAAAAAGAAUGAGAAGAAGAGGGAGAGAGAAUAAACAAUACUAGUCUGCAAUGGAACAGAGGAAAGGACAGAGAAGAGGUUUAUUUGUCUGUGGAACUAACUGAGGAUGCCAAUCAAAACUGGAACACAAAUAUCCAAAAUGAGAAGUUAUAUAGGCAGAUUCGCAAGCACAUAACAUUCACUAAGAAAAAUUGAACAAGGGGUUAGUUUUAGAUGAACUAUAAAAAAGAAACAUGAUGAUCAUAUCGAUAUUCGGGAUCCAAAGACCUCAACCAAUCUCCAAAAAGAAAGUUAUGGAUCCAAUAUAAUCAGCUGCAUAAAGCCAAGAUAACUGCUGAAAUUUAUAAAGGCAGUUGCAUGAGGAAAGGAGGAAUAAAGGUCAGUGACUUAUAAUAAGAGCUAUGACAUGCAUCUCCUUCUUAUCCCUCAAACGGCAUCAUGAUAUUGAUCGAUGGCUUGUUUCAUGGCAUCCAAUUGCGAAAGAACAUGCUCCAAUUUCUUACAACAGAUUUCAUUGGAAAUUCUAUAACUGUAAUCACACUUCUCAAAUGGACGGUACUCGCAUGCACUUUUGAUUUCAUCGCGUAGAGUGGACUGGAUGCCCUUGAUCAUAUGCAUGAACUCACUGCAAUGGUUGUUGAUGAAUUCUUUUCGAGGACCGGUGGGAUUGGCCAGCUCAUCCAUCACUCCUCCUGCCAGCUCCAAAACCCUAACUAUUUUCUUUUCCACAUCUUGAAGUCGCUGCAACGAUGUGGUCUGCGUCUGCGACGAAUCCAUUGAUGGAGUUGUCGACUUCACUUCAGCACCUCACUCGUCUGCAACUCCG